GAUGAACGCUGGCGGCGUGCCUAAUACAUGCAAGUCGAACGCUGAAGGAAGGAGCUUGCUCUUUCCGGAUGAGUUGCGAACGGGUGAGUAACGCGUAGGUAACCUGCCUGGUAGCGGGGGAUAACUAUUGGAAACGAUAGCUAAUACCGCAUAACAGUAGAUGUUGCAUGAUAUCUACUUAAAAGGUGCAAUUGCACCACUACCAGAUGGACCUGCGUUGUAUUAGCUAGUUGGUGAGGUAACGGCUCACCAAGGCGACGAUACAUAGCCGACCUGAGAGGGUGAUCGGCCACACUGGGACUGAGACACGGCCCAGACUCCUACGGGAGGCAGCAGUAGGGAAUCUUCGGCAAUGGACGGAAGUCUGACCGAGCAACGCCGCGUGAGUGAAGAAGGUUGUCGGAUCGUAAAGCUCGGUUGUAAGAGAAGAACGAGUGUGAGAGUGGAAAGUUCACACUGUGACGGUAUCUUACCAGAAAGGGACGGCUAACUACGUG
RNAcentral lists this ribosomal RNA (497 nucleotides) under uncultured bacterium. RNAcentral's name for it is "partial 16S ribosomal RNA". It matches the Rfam family "Bacterial small subunit ribosomal RNA", at positions 28 to 507 of the family's 1533-position model. The record is from RNAcentral.